UGGAACUCGGGUACUUGCACAGUCGCAGAAGACAUGGCGAGAAUGGUAUUUAUCUGUGUGAAAGUAAGAGGCGCGUGCAAUGCAUGCUGGGAUAUGUAGUCGGCGCCAAGCUUAGUGCAGCUUGAGGUGGGUGUGAAACUCCUCCCAGGCCGAAGAGUGAGCUGUUGCUCCAAGAAUCAGACGCCCCACUGUGGAGUCUUAGGGCUGUCCCUUGCUCCCCAACGUGGCUUAGCUACCUCGCUCCCGGUACGUCCUUGUCAGCGACGUUCAGACUUUCUUGGCAACCCUCAAGCGCGGCGAUCAAGGGCCCUGAAAGCCAGACUGACCGACUCGCAGAACCCCAAGCCUUUCAAAAGUGCUAGGUUCCCGACAGGAAGGUCUCGCUAAGCGAAUGAAAGUGUUAAACCUACCGGGAAAGUUCGCUGCCGCUUCCUAGAGUCUCUCGGGCUUGGGGACCUUUCCGUUUCCGGUGCUGGCCUCCAAGCCUCCAGUGCCCCAUUCUCCCAACUGUGCUGAUGAGUUAGACAGGUGGCAUUUAGAAAACCGAGCGCCUUUCGGCCGCAAUGGAAUUU
Molecule: long non-coding RNA, 572 nt
Filed under: Rattus norvegicus (Norway rat)
Lineage: Eukaryota; Metazoa; Chordata; Mammalia; Rodentia; Muridae
Description: long non-coding RNA NONRATT003237
Source: RNAcentral